UUGGCGUAGGUGAUGGGCAGCCGGUCCACAUUCCGGCACUACCGCCAAUCGUUUGUAGCGAUGGGGGGACACAGAAGGGUAGGCCAGCAGCGUGAAGGACAUCGCUGUCUAAGCCGGUAGGCGGAGGAAGGAGGCAAAUCCCUUUCCUCAAAGAACGCCGAGAGGUGACGGGGAGCUCCUACGGGAGCGAACUGGUUGAGCCCAUGCUGUCAAGAAAAGCCUCUAGUGAGAAAGGCGGUAUCCGUACCGCAAACCGACACAGGUAGGUGGGGAGAGUAUUCCAAGGCGCGCGAGUGGUCCCCCGUUAAGGAACUCGGCAAUCUAACCCCGUACCUUCGGAAGAAGAGGUGCCCCAUACCGGUUGAGAGGUUCGCCCUCAAAGGCCGGCAGGGGUCGCAGAGAAAUGGCUCUGGCGACUGUUUAAUAAAAACACAGGACUCUGCUAAGCCGCAAGGCGAUGUAUAGGGUCUGACGCCUGCCCAGUGCCGGAAGGUUAAGGGGAGGGGUCAGCUUGGAAAGCGAUUUUCAAGCGGAGCUCUGAACCGAAGCCCCGGUAAACGGCGGCCGUAACUAUAACGGUCCUAAGGUAGCGAAAUUCCUUGUCGGGUAAGUUCCGACCCGCAUGAACGGCGUAACGACUGGAGCGCUGUCUCAACGGGGAGCUCGGCGAAGUUUCAUUACAAGUGCAGAUGCUUGUUACCCGCGACUAGACGGAAAGACCCCGUGAACCUUUACUGUAACCUGAUAUUGAAUCCGGAUAUACCCUGUGCAGGAUAGGUGGGAGGCUGUGAACCGGGAGCGUUAGCUUCCGGGGAGCCGUCCUUGAGAUACCACCCUUGGCCUAUCCAGGUUCUAACCCGCUUUGGUGAAUCCCAAAGGGGAACAGUGUCAGGCGGGCAGUUUGACUGGGGCGGUCGCCUCCUAAAAUGUAACGGAGGCGCCCUAAGGUUCCCUCAGCACGUUUGGAAAUCGUGCGUCGAGUGUAAGGGCAGAAGGGAGCCUGACUGCGAGAGGGACACUUCAAGCAGAGACGAAAGUCGGGCCUAGUGAUCCGGUGGUUCUGAGUGGAAGGGCCAUCGCUCAUCGGAUAAAAGGUACUCUGGGGAUAACAGGCUGGUCUCCUCCAAGAGUCCACAUCGACGAGGAGGAUCGGCACCUCGAUGUCGGCUCGUCGCAUCCUGGGGCUGAAGUAGGUCCCAAGGGUUGGGCUGUUCGCCCAUUAAAGCGGUACGUGAGCUGGGUUUAGAACGUCGUGAGACAGUUCGGUCCCUAUCUGUCGCGGGCGGAGGAUAUUUGCGGGGAGCUGUCCCUAGUACGAGAGGACCGGGAUGGACGAACCUCCAGUGUUCCAGUUGUCCUGCCAGGGGCAUUGCUGGGUAGCUGUGUUCGGAAGGGAGAAGCGCUGAAAGCAUCUAAGCGCGAAGCCCACCCCAAGAUCAGAUAUCCCACUGGGGAACCAGGUAAGACCCCGGGAAGAUGACCCGGUUGAUAGGCUCCAAGUGUAAGGAUGGUAACAUCUUGAGCUGAGGAGUACUAAUCGGUCGAGGACUUGACCGC
RNAcentral lists this ribosomal RNA (1557 nucleotides) under metagenome. RNAcentral describes it as "bacterial LSU rRNA". It matches the Rfam family "Bacterial large subunit ribosomal RNA", at positions 1406 to 2925 of the family's 2925-position model. The record is from RNAcentral.